AUUGAACGCUGGCGGCGUGCCUAACACAUGCAAGUCGAGCGGUAACAGGUGUAGCAAUACAUGCUGACGAGCGGCGGACGGGUGAGUAACGCUUGGGAAUCUGCCUGUUAGUGGGGGACAACCCGGGGAAACUCGGGCUAAUACCGCAUACGCACUACGGUGGAAAGCCGGGGACCGCAAGGCCUGGCGCUAACAGAUGGGCCCAAGUCGGAUUAGCUAGUUGGUAGGGUAACGGCCUACCAAGGCGACGAUCCGUAACUGGUCUGAGAGGACGACCAGUCACACCGGAACUGAGACACGGCCCGGACUCCUACGGGAGGCAGCAGUGGGGAAUAUUGGACAAUGGGCGAAAGCCUGAUCCAGCGACGCCGCGUGGGUGAAGAAGGCCUGCGGGUUGUAAAG
This 402-nucleotide ribosomal RNA is filed under the name uncultured bacterium. RNAcentral describes it as "bacterial SSU rRNA". It matches the Rfam family "Bacterial small subunit ribosomal RNA", at positions 29 to 430 of the family's 1533-position model. The record is from RNAcentral.